Molecule: ribosomal RNA, 465 nt
Filed under: uncultured bacterium
Lineage: Bacteria
Description: partial 16S ribosomal RNA
Rfam family: Bacterial small subunit ribosomal RNA
Source: RNAcentral
GACGAACGCUGGCGGCGUGCUUAACACAUGCAAGUCGUACGGUAAGGCCCUUUCGGGGGUCCACGAGUGGCGCACGGGUGAGUAACACGUGAGUAACCUGCCCACAACUUUGGGAUAACGCUAGGAAACUGGUGCUAAUACUGGAUAUGUGCUCCUGCUGCAUGGUGGGGGUUGGAAAGCUCCGGCGGUUGUGGAUGGACUCGCGGCCUAUCAGCUUGUUGGUGGGGUAGUGGCCUACCAAGGCGGCGACGGGUAGCCGGCCUGAGAGGGUGACCGGCCACAUUGGGACUGAGAUACGGCCCAGACUCCGACGGGAGGCAGCAGUGGGGAAUAUUGCACAAUGGGCGCAAGCCUGAUGCAGCAACGCCGCGUGCGGGAUGACGGCCUUCGGGUUGUAAACCGCUUUCAGCAGGGACGAAGCUUUUUGUGACGGUACCUGCAGAAGAAGCACCGGCUAACUACGUG